Anolis carolinensis (green anole) is the source of this 1347-nucleotide long non-coding RNA. RefSeq lists it as uncharacterized. NCBI's taxonomy places the organism in Eukaryota, Metazoa, Chordata, Lepidosauria, Squamata, Anolidae. The record is from RefSeq and is a predicted model, not a curated record. The transcript is spliced from 2 exons.
UGUGUAAUAAGACUUGUCACUUUAGGCUUGAGUGAAACAAUAACAGUAUCUUUAUUUUGGUUCAAGAGUUCAAACACAUACACAGGGCAACAGUAUGCAACAGUCCUUUUAAAUAUGCCUCAUUCCUUCUUUAAAUAUUCAAAACUUUGGAGGGCAUGACAGCCGUUACAUUCCUGACUAAAAAUCUGGUCAGCUCCUUUCUUCCACUCUCCAGAAGAGAAGACAACCUGAAACUGAAAACGUCAGUUGGAAAAACCGUUGGUCUGCCUCUGUCAAGCCAGAAGGCAGCAACCAAUCAGAAUUCUAGCUGACAUAGCCAAACAGCCAUCGCCAUAGCAACCCUUUCCAGUGAACUCAUCACAAUUUGGAGUCUUAAUUUCAUAUUCCCUCACAGAACCUCUCUGAGAUAUACACCAGGAACCUAUUUGCACUACAGUUAUAGCACUAUUAUUCCACUAAGCUUCUGGUUUGUCAUGACAAGAAUUCUAAAUGCUCCCCCCCCAACUGAAAAUACCAGAGUUCCACAGGACAGAACAUGGCAGUGAAUUGGAAGCUUAAAUUACUAGGACAUGGAGGAGAAAACUUUCCUAAUAUUUUGUGAACUUUGGGACACAUUGUAAUACAAAUUGCAACCUGGAUCUCUGGGGAGUCAGAGCUCCCGGCAAGAAGCCACAGCCUCCAAAAACUGCAAUGAAUGUCUUUGUUUGCCUUCAAGUUCUAGUGCACAGCUAAGCAGAAAAAAGAUUAUCGGGGUCUGAGAACGAUUGUAUAAUCCACAAAUGCACUUUAUUUGAUUAAAUGAUGAAAAGGAAACCUUCCAACAACAGGCACAACAUAUGCUAUAAUUGUGGCCCGAGGCAUGGCUAAUCCAGUAAAUCAGGAGCUAUGGCUACAAUGAAAUUAAAAGCCCAAGCCUUUGAUAGAGCAGAUUGGUCUCUGGCUGGUGCUCCCUAUUAUAGCCAGCUAAUCACACCAGGAGCUUCAAUCUUGCCUUGCAGGGCUCUGAAGAACUUCACAUAUGAGGGUGACAUGGAGCAAGUAGCUCUGAUAGGCCCCCAAACCAUCCCAUGCUGGGCCAUAGCAUUACCAAUAUGCUUGCCUUGGGCAGACUUAAAGCUUCCAACACUCCACAGAUAAAACCUUCCCGGACAAAACUCUGGGAAAGAGGCAGACAGGCAAUCAAAAUGGCAAAUGUUAUUAAGGAAGAGGAACAGCAAAGCUAGGAGAGGAUGCAGCAGUUUGCUUUUGCCUGGGCCCCUUGGGAAAGACUAGAAUCCAAUCCACCCCUUCUCCCAUUUCAUGAGUCUUAUUCCUGAAUAAAAUGCACAUUUGAUUUCUGUUUGGAAA